This 637-nucleotide ribosomal RNA is filed under the name Listeria monocytogenes. RNAcentral's name for it is "bacterial SSU rRNA". It matches the Rfam family "Bacterial small subunit ribosomal RNA", at positions 49 to 677 of the family's 1533-position model. The record is from RNAcentral. Lineage: Bacteria; Bacillati; Bacillota; Bacilli; Caryophanales; Listeriaceae.
CUAUACAUGCAAGUCGAACGAACGGAGGAAGAGCUUGCUCUUCCAAAGUUAGUGGCGGACGGGUGAGUAACACGUGGGCAACCUGCCUGUAAGUUGGGGAUAACUCCGGGAAACCGGGGCUAAUACCGAAUGAUAAAGUKUGGCGCAUGCCAYGCUUUUGAAAGAUGGUUUCGGCUAUCGCUUACAGAUGGGCCCGCGGUGCAUUAGCUAGUUGGUAGGGUAAUGGCCUACCAAGGCAACGAUGCAUAGCCGACCUGAGAGGGUGAUCGGCCACACUGGGACUGAGACACGGCCCAGACUCCUACGGGAGGCAGCAGUAGGGAAUCUUCCGCAAUGGACGAAAGUCUGACGGAGCAACGCCGCGUGUAUGAAGAAGGUUUUCGGAUCGUAAAGUACUGUUGUUAGAGAAGAACAAGGAUAAGAGUAACUGCUUGUCCCUUGACGGUAUCUAACCAGAAAGCCACGGCUAACUACGUGCCAGCAGCCGCGGUAAUACGUAGGUGGCAAGCGUUGUCCGGAUUUAUUGGGCGUAAAGCGCGCGCAGGCGGUCUUUUAAGUCUGAUGUGAAAGCCCCCGGCUUACCGGGAGGGUCAUUGGAACUGGAGACUGGAGUGCAGAGAGAGAGUGAUCACGUGUA